UACGGGGGGGGCAAGCGUUGUUCGGAAUUACUGGGCGUAAAGGGCUCGUAGGCGGCCAACUAAGUCGGAUGUGAAAUCCCCAGGCUUAACCUGGGAACUGCAUCCGAUACUGGAUGGCUUGAAUCCGGGAGAGGGAUGCAGGAAUUCCAGGUGUAGCGGUGAAAUGCGUAGAUAUCUGGAGGAAUACCGGUGGCGAAGGCGGCAUCCUGGACCGGCAUUGACGCUGAUGAGCGAAAAGCUAGGGGAGCAAACGGGGAUUAAGAAACCCC
This 269-nucleotide ribosomal RNA is filed under the name uncultured bacterium. Its description in RNAcentral is "partial 16S ribosomal RNA". It matches the Rfam family "Bacterial small subunit ribosomal RNA", at positions 524 to 788 of the family's 1533-position model. The record is from RNAcentral.